UUAGCCUUUUCAGCCGUGGUUCACCGGACCGAGAGUGCUACGGCGUCAAUCCUUUCUAUCCUCGUCGUGCCCAGCUUCUCUUCCCUCUUUUCCCCUCACUGAUGAACCCUAGCCGCCGUCUCCAUGCCGGAUCCCGCACCCGAGCCUGCCCUCGCCGGCGCCGGCGCUGCUGUGUGCAGCCCCUCGCCUCAACAUUCAGUUCACAGAUUUUCAGUUCAGUGAUAUUCAACUGAAACUGGAUGGUAAGUUUUCAGUGACCAUGUUGAGGCGAACAACAGUUCAUGUCACUGAAAAUAGAAUGACCAUGCAUUUUUCAUAGAAUGGCCAUAUUCAGUUCACAGAAAUAAAUGGACCGCAGUUCACAGAUUAGAAUUCAGUUCACAGAUUACAACCGGAAUUCAGUUCACACAGAUUAAAUGGACUGCAGUUCACACAGCAGUUCAUAGAUUAGAAUUCAGCGGCUAGGGUUGCCAUGCUGCCUGUGCCGUACACCAUCACACAGCUAGAGCUAGUUCAAUUCCCUUUCCCUUCCCGUUGUCACCCCUCUGUUCAGUCCACACCACACCCUCCUCAACCGCACCGUCGUCGUCUAGCCGACUAGCGGCGGGAGCUAUAGCUUCGACGAGCCGACGACAAACACCAACAGGAGGGGAAAGGAGGGAAGAGAAGCUAGGGCCUAGGGAGGGAGGAGAGCUGCUGGGAGACGACGACGAGAAGACUGGCGCCGUAACGCUAGCCGUCCGUGACCUGCGCCUGAUAGACCUUACUGAAAGAUCGCAAGGCUAACAACGACGACUGCUGAUGGUAUUUUUCUAUUAUGGCAAAGAGAAGACUUGUAUCCUUUCUAUUUUGAUAAACAUGUGUACACCGAAUUGAAGCUCAGUUCUGUAGGAGGUGACUCAUUUCCGUUGAACA
Zea mays is the source of this 915-nucleotide long non-coding RNA. RefSeq lists it as uncharacterized. Lineage: Eukaryota; Viridiplantae; Streptophyta; Magnoliopsida; Poales; Poaceae. The transcript is spliced from 2 exons. The record is from RefSeq and is a predicted model, not a curated record.